RNAcentral lists this unclassified non-coding RNA (211 nucleotides) under plant metagenome. RNAcentral's name for it is "partial contains small subunit ribosomal RNA, internal transcribed spacer 1, and 5.8S ribosomal RNA". The record is from RNAcentral.
UUUCCGUAGGAGAACCUGCGGAAGGAUCAUCCAUAAUAAAGUGUUUUAUGGCACUUUUUAAAAAUCCAUAUCCACCUUGUGUGCAAUGUUAGAUCUCGUCAAUCUUGGCGAGAUUUUUAUACAUCAACUCAUUCUUUAACUAAUUUGUCUGAAAAAUAUUAUGAAUACUUAAUUCAAAAUACAACUUUCAACAACGGAUCUCUUGGCUCUC